GACGAACGCUGGCGGCGUGCUUAACACAUGCAAGUCGAACGGAAAGGCCCUGCUUUUGUGGGGUGCUCGAGUGGCGAACGGGUGAGUAACACGUGAGUAACCUGCCCUUUACUUUGGGAUAACUUCAGGAAACUGGGGCUAAUACCGGAUAGGAGCUCCUGCUGCAUGGUGGGGGUUGGAAAGUUUCGGCGGUUGGGGAUGGACUCGCGGCUUAUCAGCUUGUUGGUGGGGUAGUGGCUUACCAAGGCUUUGACGGGUAGCCGGCCUGAGAGGGUGACCGGCCACAUUGGGACUGAGAUACGGCCCAGACGCCUACGGGAGGCAGCAGUGGGGAAUAUUGCACAAUGGGCGGAAGCCUGAUGCAGAAACGCCGCGUGCGGGAUGACGGCCUUCGGGUUGUAAACCGCUUUCGCCUGUGACGAAGCGUGAGUGACGGUAAUGGGUAAAGAAGCACCGGCUAACUACGUG
This 468-nucleotide ribosomal RNA is filed under the name uncultured bacterium. RNAcentral describes it as "partial 16S ribosomal RNA". It matches the Rfam family "Bacterial small subunit ribosomal RNA", at positions 28 to 507 of the family's 1533-position model. The record is from RNAcentral.